UGCCCUGUAGCUCAGUGGUAGAGCAGGUGACUGUUAAUCACUUGGUCGCUGGUUCGAAUCCAGCCGGGGCAGCCA
RNAcentral lists this transfer RNA (75 nucleotides) under Pelagicoccus albus. RNAcentral describes it as "tRNA-Asn". It matches the Rfam family "tRNA". Rfam says of the family: Transfer RNA (tRNA) molecules are approximately 80 nucleotides in length. Their secondary structure includes four short double-helical elements and three loops (D, anti-codon, and T loops). Further hydrogen bonds mediate the characteristic L-shaped molecular structure. tRNAs have two regions of fundamental functional importance: the anti-codon, which is responsible for specific mRNA codon recognition, and the 3' end, to which the tRNAs corresponding amino acid is attached (by aminoacyl-tRNA synthetases). tRNAs cope with the degeneracy of the genetic code in two manners: having more than one tRNA (with a specific anti-codon) for a particular amino acid; and 'wobble' base-pairing, i.e. permitting non-standard base-pairing at the 3rd anti-codon position. RNAcentral also lists the same sequence under 6 other names. The record is from RNAcentral. Lineage: Bacteria; Pseudomonadati; Verrucomicrobiota; Opitutia; Puniceicoccales; Pelagicoccaceae.